CAAGUAAAACUGUGGGGAUGAAUAUGUAACAACACAUAUUAAUUCAAAGGUAAACAAUAGCACUCCAUUAAAACCACAACUGAGGUUAUGACAACCCUAUGCAAUGCCAAAAUAUUUGCAGAGAAGGUUCAAGUGAUUUUUAGAUGAAUCCUUAUAAUUCAGACUUGUCUAAAAUGUUAACAUUUUUAGAUGAGAUUUUUCACAAGCAAAUGUAGGACUCAAAAGCACAUAUUAAUUAUAUAACAAUGACAAUGAUUUCCUCAUGUGUUACCUAAGAUGUCAUCUUUUAAAGGUAUUAGGAUCAGUCAAAAUAGUAUUUUUCAUCUACUUAGAACCCCCUGUAUACUUAUAGUGGUGCUGAGAAUUAAAGCUCAUCCUUCAUAAUAUUUUUGUUCAAAAUAAACCACUUUUUGUCAUUUGUUACCCUUCUUCUCAAGCUAAGCUGAGGUGGAACAGCUGGGCACUGCCCUGCAGCUGGACCUCCAGGUCAGCAGAGAAAGCACACAGUGGUGAUUCUUCUCAACCAUAAUUAACAGCAGAAAAGUACAGCCUCUGGCACUUUGUAAACUUAAAUGUAGCAAUUCACUGCAAAUAUUGCUGGCAAAUAAACAAUUACUAUGUCAGAGUCAAGAAACACAAAGUGCAAAAAGACUGCUGAAAGACUUGGCACAAACCCAAGCUAAAUCUUUAACAGGGAACAACAGGAGUAUCUCAACAGAUUUAUUAAUAUUGUACCUUCUUAAGCAUUUCAUUCAUCUACAUAGAGGUUCAGGAAGCAGAGCGGGAAAGAGAGGAAAAAUAAAUAAAGAAACAAAAACGGUAUCAUAAAAUUAAAAGUAUGCUUAGCAUCCUAAAACAGUACAUAAGCAUUUCAAAUUUAACUACAGGCCAGGAAUAGAAAGAAAGAAUGGCAAAUUAAUUAGUUUGUCAUCAAAAACUGAGUAUCAAAUUGCAUCUAUGCAAGAAAUUCAGAACAUUUGCUCUUUAUUUAAAGAUAUCAAGAUUCAAAACAUAUACUGCAUAAUAUUUUACAAUAAUUUCACCCCUUAUUUGAAUUUCUAUGAUUUUUAUUUUGAAACAGUAUUAGAGGCAGGUCUUUCUAGAAACAGAGAUAUGUUACCUUACAAAUUCAGCACUUUUUUUUUCCCAGCAAGUAAUUACUACAUGUGAAGAUUAAGACUUUGAAACACUUCAAUAAAUUGUUAUCUAUUAAAGGUACUUCAAGGCUGUUAA
Pseudopipra pipra is the source of this 1233-nucleotide long non-coding RNA. RefSeq lists it as uncharacterized. NCBI's taxonomy places the organism in Eukaryota, Metazoa, Chordata, Aves, Passeriformes, Pipridae. The transcript is spliced from 2 exons. The record is from RefSeq and is a predicted model, not a curated record.